CUUGCUCUAACGGGGUGCCUGCAUCAACAGGCUGAGAGGCUGGAAUUAUCCAGUCAACCCGCGGAACCUGAUCCGGUUUGUACCGGCGGAGGGAUUAGAUGCGGCUUUAAA
RNAcentral lists this non-coding RNA (111 nucleotides) under Phyllobacterium sp. YR531. RNAcentral's name for it is "TPP riboswitch aptamer (THI element)". It matches the Rfam family "TPP riboswitch aptamer (THI element)". From Rfam's summary of the family: Vitamin B(1) in its active form thiamin pyrophosphate (TPP) is an essential coenzyme that is synthesised by coupling of pyrimidine and thiazole moieties in bacteria. The previously detected thiamin-regulatory element, thi box was extended, resulting in a new, highly conserved RNA secondary structure, the THI element, which is widely distributed in eubacteria and also occurs in some archaea. Analysis of operon structures identified a large number of new candidate thiamin-regulated genes, mostly transporters, in various prokaryotic organisms. RNAcentral also lists the same sequence under 1 other name. The record is from Rfam by way of RNAcentral. Lineage: Bacteria; Pseudomonadati; Pseudomonadota; Alphaproteobacteria; Hyphomicrobiales; Phyllobacteriaceae.